Molecule: long non-coding RNA, 315 nt
Filed under: Brassica rapa (field mustard)
Lineage: Eukaryota; Viridiplantae; Streptophyta; Magnoliopsida; Brassicales; Brassicaceae
Description: long non-coding RNA (BRAP_LNC001644)
Source: RNAcentral
UAGAGCAUACACUAUUCAUAUUUACAAACCUUUUUUUAACUGGGCUUAUUUACAAAACUUCCGAUUCCAAUUUUUUUUAUUUUUCUUGUUAUUUUAAGAUUUGAACUUUACAAUUUCUCACAAUGGUAUAUAUAAUUAGAUUAGAAAAGUUUUACACAUAUUAUUUUAAAUAGUUUGAAACACUAAAUAUCAUUUUUGAAAAGCCUUUUUUUCAGAAAAAAAAACAUUAUAUAUCAUUUUCAAAAUAUAGUUUAACCUAUCAUUCAAAUUCACCAAUUGUUUGUAUUAUUUACUAAUCGUUAAUUUGGACUAUCU